UUUAAGUCCUGAAGAUUCUGAAAUAUUCCAAAGGAUUAGGAGUUUAAAAUUCUCUCUUCCUCAUGGAGGAAAACCAGGAGAUAUACAAAGAGGUAUCCUGCUAGAGGAUCCCAGGCUAACGAUGGAUUAGGGAAGAACAGAUGAUGUGUCCAAGCGAGGAGGACAUAAGAGAAGCAAGGUGCCAAAUAAAGAAUGAGAGGUCAAAUGGAAUACAAUUUGCUGACUGUAAGGGGGAGAGUUUUUUUCCCCAAAAUGCCAAAGUACAUAAAGAUAAAGGUGAAAGUUUCCUCUCA
RNAcentral lists this long non-coding RNA (293 nucleotides) under Homo sapiens (human). RNAcentral's name for it is "HSALNT0187966". The record is from RNAcentral. Lineage: Eukaryota; Metazoa; Chordata; Mammalia; Primates; Hominidae.